Molecule: ribosomal RNA, 253 nt
Filed under: uncultured bacterium
Lineage: Bacteria
Description: partial 16S ribosomal RNA
Rfam family: Bacterial small subunit ribosomal RNA
Source: RNAcentral
UACGUAGGGUGCAAGCGUUGUCCGGAAUUAUUGGGCGUAAAGAGCUCGUAGGCGGUCUGUUGCGUCGGCUGUGAAAACCCGGGGCUCAACCCCGAACUUGCAGUGGGUACGGGCAGACUAGAGUGUGGUAGGGGAGACUGGAAUUCCUGGUGUAGCGGUGAAAUGCGCAGAUAUCAGGAGGAACACCGAUGGCGAAGGCAGGUCUCUGGGCCAUAACUGACGCUGAGAAGCGAAAGCAUGGGGAGCGAACAGG